CAAACUUACUUGGAGGCUAAUGGCAUUUUUGAAAAAUUUCAAUCUGGUUUUAAGUUGCGCCAUAGCACUGAAACUGCACUUUUAAGAGUUUUUAAUGAUUUAAUUUUAACUGUUGAUUCUGGCUGUUCCUCAUUUU
Thalassophryne amazonica is the source of this 136-nucleotide long non-coding RNA. RefSeq lists it as uncharacterized. The record is from RefSeq and is a predicted model, not a curated record. The transcript has 3 exons. NCBI's taxonomy places the organism in Eukaryota, Metazoa, Chordata, Actinopteri, Batrachoidiformes, Batrachoididae.